CCCUUAGAUGUUCUGGGCCGCACGCGCGCUACACUGACUACUUCAACGAGUUGUUUCCUUGAUCGAAAGGUCUGGGUAAUCUUUGAAAGGUAGUCGUGAUGGGGAUAGAUCCUUGCAAUUUUUGAUCUUCAACGAGGAAUUCCUAGUAAACGCAAGUCAUCAGCUUGCAUUGAUUACGUCCCUGCCCUUUGUACACACCGCCCGUCACACCUACCGAUUGAAUGGUCCGGUGAAUCUUUAGGACUGUGGCUGAGGCCUUGCCUUGUGCGGGUCUGGCCGUGGGAAUUUAGUUAAACCUUACCAUUUAGAGGAAGGUGAAGUCGUAACA
RNAcentral lists this ribosomal RNA (328 nucleotides) under uncultured eukaryote. Its description in RNAcentral is "partial 18S ribosomal RNA". It matches the Rfam family "Eukaryotic small subunit ribosomal RNA", at positions 1470 to 1796 of the family's 1831-position model. The record is from RNAcentral.